UUCCGACCUGCACGAAUGGCGUAAUGAUGGCCACGCUGUCUCCACCCGAGACUCAGUGAAAUUGAAAUCGCUGUUAAGAUGCAGUGUACCCGCGGCUAGACGGAAAGACCCCGUGCACCUUUACUACAGCUUUACACUGGAUUUUGAACCUAUUUGUGUAGGAUAGGUGGGAGGCUUUGAAGCCGGAUCGCCAGAUUCGGUGGAGCCAACCUUGAAAUACCACCCUGGUAUGUUUGAAGUUCUAACCCAGGCGCUACAACGCCGGGGACAGUGUAUGGUGGGUAGUUUGACUGGGGCGGUCUCCUCCCAAAGAGUAACGGAGGAGCACGAAGGUACCCUCAGUACGGUCGGACAUCGUACGGUUAGUGCAAAGGCAUAAGGGUGCUUGACUGCGAGAGUGACGGCUCGAGCAGGUACGAAAGUAGGUCUUAGUGAUCCGGUGGUUCUGUAUGGAAGGGCCAUCGCUCAACGGAUAAAAGGUACGCCGGGGAUAACAGGCUGAUACCGCCCAAGAGUUCAUAUCGACGGCGGUGUUUGGCACCUCG
Molecule: ribosomal RNA, 545 nt
Filed under: Pseudomonadales bacterium
Lineage: Bacteria; Pseudomonadati; Pseudomonadota; Gammaproteobacteria; Pseudomonadales
Description: partial 23S ribosomal RNA
Rfam family: Bacterial large subunit ribosomal RNA
Source: RNAcentral